UACAGAGGGUGCAAGCGUUAAUCGGAAUUACUGGGCGUAAAGCGUGCGCAGACGGUUGCGUAAGUCAGAUGUGAAAGCCCCGGGCUCAACCUGGGAAUUGCAUUUGAGACUGCGUAGCUAGGGUGCGGAAGAGGGAAGCGGAAUUUCCGGUGUAGCGGUGAAAUGCGUAGAUAUCGGAAGGAACACCAGUGGCGAAAGGCGGCCAACUGGACGAAUACUGACGCUGAGGACUCGAAAAGCGGGG
This 244-nucleotide ribosomal RNA is filed under the name uncultured bacterium. RNAcentral describes it as "partial 16S ribosomal RNA". It matches the Rfam family "Bacterial small subunit ribosomal RNA", at positions 524 to 765 of the family's 1533-position model. The record is from RNAcentral.